Molecule: long non-coding RNA, 1130 nt
Organism: Dicentrarchus labrax (European seabass)
Lineage: Eukaryota; Metazoa; Chordata; Actinopteri; Moronidae
Exons: 4
Source: RefSeq, a predicted model, not a curated record
AACACAAAAUGUCACUAUAAAAGGAACCAGGAAAUAUGUGGCUGUUUCAUAGACUAUAUAUCCAACGAAGUGCUGACAUUUUUCUUGCAUGGCUUAAGUGAAUUCUGGGUUGUGUCUGGCACUAAGGUCAAACUUAAGGGGACAUUUAAAGACUGGAUUUAACUACACAUUUGAGGCCAGGAAAAUGUGCUGUGUCUGCAGGGAGGUUAUUUGGUGCAGGAGACCAGAGUCGUUUACAAUUCAAGGUUUCCAGCAGUCGAGCCUAACUGCGUCAGACCUGCUUCACCACCGAGUCUGCUUCUGAAAUAUUGAUGAGAUCUCCCAGGCUAAACCCAGGCUUGUUGUGGCCUCAGGCAGUGAGUUCACCUCAAAGGCAUUCUGGUUGAAACUUCUCUUCGUCUCUGAAGAGUUAAUUCUGAGAAAACAACAACAUGUAGGAGGGACAAAAAUAACAAAGCUGUACAAAAGAAGAAAGGGUUUCGGGAAGAAACUUCAUGCCCGUCGUGCACAGGGGGACAUUUGCCACACCCAAAAUGCAAAACACCACGCCACCUCGCCCUUCUCUCCCUCUUCAGAGGAAAUAAGAUAUGCUGAUGAAGUUGGCAGGGCUCUCAUGGCUGAAGACGAAGCAUUUUGGCACUUCUGAGACAUCAGAGUGAGUCGGGCAACCCGGGGGGGAAGCCUGAGAUAUUUCAUCCCUGUCAGUCUUUGGUGUUUUAACUGCGCUUGCGACCUUAUUGACAAUGUUCUCAAAAAUGUGUGAUGUAUCUCUGCUUGGGUUGUCCAAAUCUUCUGUGUCUCUGAUAUUAAAUCCCACUUUUUUUGAAUUUUAGAAGGCCAACAUUGAGUUCUGUUUAUGUUUGUGAGAACUCGUACAUCUAGGAAUGAGUUUUCUGAACUGUAAUUAGCCAACAGUCUGCUAUCUGACUGGUUUUCUGCCAUCCGGUUCAUUUCAAGCCACUCGCUGCACUGCUGUAAGCCAAAAAUGAAGAGUCAAUAAAUGGAUGGUGGUAAGUAAAUAAAUAAAUGGAUGAAAAGUGGAUUGAAUAACUUGUAACCAUGCUGUAUAAUAAAAAUGUUCCUGGACUGAAUUUUAUUUCUGUAUCAAUCAAAUAUUUGAUUUAUUUGGU